UCGUCACACUAUCAUUAACUGAAUCCAUAGGUUAAUGAGGCGAACCGGGGGAACUGAAACAUCUAAGUACCCCGAGGAAAAGAAAUCAACCGAGAUUCCCCCAGUAGCGGCGAGCGAACGGGGAGGAGCCCAGAGCCUGAAUCAGCAUGUGUGUUAGUGGAAGCGUCUGGAAAGGCGCGCGAUACAGGGUGACAGCCCCGUACACAAAAGCGCAUGUGCUGUGAGCUCGAUGAGUAGGGCGGGACACGUGGUAUCCUGUCUGAAUAUGGGGGGACCAUCCUCCAAGGCUAAAUACUCCUGACUGACCGAUAGUGAACCAGUACCGUGAGGGAAAGGCGAAAAGAACCCCGGCGAGGGGAGUGAAAAAGAACCUGAAACCGUGUACGUACAAGCAGUGGGAGCACCCUUUGGGUGUGACUGCGUACCUUUUGUAUAAUGGGUCAGCGACUUAUAUUCUGUAGCAAGGUUAACCGAAUAGGGGAGCCGGAGGGAAACCGAGUCUUAACCGGGCGUUAAGUUGCAGGGUAUAGACCCGAAACCCGGUGAUCUAGCCAUGGGC
RNAcentral lists this ribosomal RNA (559 nucleotides) under Salmonella enterica subsp. enterica serovar Enteritidis. RNAcentral describes it as "partial 23S ribosomal RNA". It matches the Rfam family "Bacterial large subunit ribosomal RNA", at positions 140 to 741 of the family's 2925-position model. The record is from RNAcentral. Lineage: Bacteria; Pseudomonadati; Pseudomonadota; Gammaproteobacteria; Enterobacterales; Enterobacteriaceae.